Non-coding RNA from Chlorocebus sabaeus (green monkey), 755 nucleotides. The record is from the annotation of a RefSeq genome assembly. NCBI's taxonomy places the organism in Eukaryota, Metazoa, Chordata, Mammalia, Primates, Cercopithecidae.
AUCUUUCCAUACAAAGGCACCACCCACAUGCAAAUCCUCAUUUAAACGCCUACAGGAAGCCACCACACAUUUCCUUAAAUUCAGGGUUCUGCUCACAUGGGAAAUGCUCUCUGAGAGUCAUGGACAUCCUGUGCAAGAACAUGAAGCACCUGUGGUUCUUCCUUCUCCUGGUGGCAGCUCCCAGAGGGGUCCUGUCCCAGCUGCAGCUGCAGGAGUCGGGCCCAGGACUGGUGAAGCCUUCGGAGACCCUGUCCCUCACCUGCGCUGUCUCUGGUGGCUCCAUCAGCAGUUACUGGUGGGGCUGGAUCCGCCAGGCCCCAGGGAAGGGACUGGAGUGGAUUGGGAAUAUCUAUGGUAGUGGUGGGAGCACCGAAUACAACCCCUCCCUCAAGAGUCGAGUCACCAUUUCAAAAGACACGUCCAAGAACCAGUUCUCCCUGAAGCUGAGCUCUGUGACCGCCGCGGACACGGCCGUGUAUUACUGUGCGAGAGACACAGUGAGGGGAGGUGAGUGUGAGCCCAGACACAAACCUCCCUGCAGGGAGGCGGAGGGGGCGGGCGCAGGUGCCGCUCAGGACCAGCAGGGGGCGCGCGGGGCCCACAGAGCAGGAGGCCGGGUCAGGAGCAGGUGCAGGGAGGGCGGGGCUUCCUCAUCUGCUCAGUGCUCUCCCUCCUCACCAGCGCCUCAGCUGUCCCCAGGGCUCCUCUUUCUUUGAUAUCUGUGGUUCUGCUUCCUCACAUCCUUGUGCCAGGAA